UGCCCAGACUCCUACGGGAGGCAGCAGUGGGGAAUAUUGCACAAUGGGGGGAACCCUGAUGCAGCGACGCCGCGUGGGUGAAGGAGCACCUCGGUGCGUAAAGCCCUAUCGGCAGGGAAGAAACAGACGGUACCUGACUAAGAAGCCCCGGCUAACUACGUGCCAGCAGCCGCGGUAAUACGUAGGGGGCAAGCGUUAUCCGGAUUUACUGGGUGUAAAGGGAGCGUAGACGGCAGUGCAAGUCCGGAGUGAAAGCCCGGGGCUCAACCCUGGGACUGCUCUGGAAACUGUAAAGCUGGAGUGCGGGAGGGGCAGGCGGAAUUCCUGGUGUAGCGGUGAAAUGCGUAGAUACCAGGAGGAACACCGGCGGCGAAGGCGGCCUGCUGGACCGUAACUGACGUUGAGGCUCGAAAGCGUGGGGAGCAAACAGGAUUAGAUACCCUCGUA
This 447-nucleotide ribosomal RNA is filed under the name uncultured bacterium. RNAcentral's name for it is "bacterial SSU rRNA". It matches the Rfam family "Bacterial small subunit ribosomal RNA", at positions 328 to 792 of the family's 1533-position model. The record is from RNAcentral.